RNAcentral lists this ribosomal RNA (253 nucleotides) under uncultured bacterium. RNAcentral describes it as "partial 16S ribosomal RNA". It matches the Rfam family "Bacterial small subunit ribosomal RNA", at positions 524 to 776 of the family's 1533-position model. The record is from RNAcentral.
UACAGAGGGUGCAAGCGUUAAUCGGAAUUACUGGGCGUAAAGCGCGCGUAGGUGGAUAAGUAAGUUGGAUGUGAAAUCCCCGGGCUUAACCUGGGAACUGCAUUCAAAACUGCUUUUCUAGAGUAUGGUAGAGGGGAGUGGAAUUUCCGGUGUAGCGGUGAAAUGCGUAGAUAUCGGAAGGAACACCAGUGGCGAAGGCGACUCUCUGGACCAAUACUGACACUGAGGUGCGAAAGCGUGGGGAGCAAACAGG